UACCAGCACCCCGAGUGGUCGGGACGAUUAUUGGGCCUAAAGCAUCCGUAGCCGGUUCUGCAAGUCCCCCGUUAAAUCCAGCUGCUCUACAGAUGGGCCGCGGAGGAUACUACAGAGCUAGGAGGCAGGAGAGGCAAGCGGUACUCAGUGGGUAGGGGUAAAAUCCGUUGAUCCAUUGAAGACCACCAGUGGCGAAGGCGGCUUGCCAGAAUGCGCUCGACGGUGAGGGAUGAAAGCUGGGGGAGCAAACCGG
RNAcentral lists this ribosomal RNA (253 nucleotides) under uncultured bacterium. Its description in RNAcentral is "partial 16S ribosomal RNA". It matches the Rfam family "Archaeal small subunit ribosomal RNA", at positions 474 to 727 of the family's 1478-position model. The record is from RNAcentral.